Molecule: ribosomal RNA, 424 nt
Filed under: Verrucomicrobiota bacterium
Lineage: Bacteria; Pseudomonadati; Verrucomicrobiota
Description: Verrucomicrobia bacterium partial 16S ribosomal RNA
Rfam family: Bacterial small subunit ribosomal RNA
Source: RNAcentral
UGAGGAAUAUUGGUCAAUGGACGCAAGUCUGAACCAGCCAAGUAGCGUGCAGGAUGACGGCCCUAUGGGUUGUAAACUGCUUUUAUAUGGGGAUAAAGUGGGGAACGUGUUCCCUUUUGCAGGUACCAUAUGAAUAAGGACCGGCUAAUUCCGUGCCAGCAGCCGCGGUAAUACGGAAGGUUCGGGCGUUAUCCGGAUUUAUUGGGUUUAAAGGGAGCGUAGGCCGUUUGGUAAGCGUGUUGUGGAAUGUAGGAGCUCAACUUCUAGAUUGCAGCGCGAAAUGUCAGACUUGAGUGCGCACAACGUAGGCGGAAUUCAUGGUGUAGCGGUGAAAUGCUUAGAUAUCAUGAAGAACUCCGAUUGCGAAGGCAGCUUACGGGAGCGCAACUGACGCUGAAGCUCGAAGGUGCGGGUAUCGAACAGG